GAUGAACGCUGGCGGCAUGCCUAAUACAUGCAAGUCGAGCGAACAGACCAGGAUCUUGCUCGUCUGACGUUAGCGGCGGACGGGAGCGUAACACGUGGAUAACAUACCUAUGAGACUGGGAUACCUUCGCCAAACCGGGGCUAAUACCGGAUGAUAUAUUGAACAACGUUGUUCCCUCGUGAGAUUCGGUUUUGCUGUCGCUUAUAGCUCGAUCCGCGCCGAAUUAGCUAGUUGGUAGGGUAGCGGGUUAGCAAGGCAACGAUGCGUAGCCGACCUGAGCGGGAGGUCGGCUAGCCGGUAACUGAGACAGGGCCCAGACACUGACGCUAGGAAGCAGCAGGGAAUCUUACGCAAUGGGGGAGUGCCGGAUGGUGCAACGCCGCGUGAGGGAUGAAGCACCUCGGAUCGUAGAGUGCUGUUAGCAGUGAAGAAGAAAUGUGCAAGUAACCAUGAAGGUAUUGACGGUACCUAAUGAGUAAGCCCCGGCUAACUACGUG
RNAcentral lists this ribosomal RNA (497 nucleotides) under uncultured bacterium. RNAcentral describes it as "partial 16S ribosomal RNA". It matches the Rfam family "Bacterial small subunit ribosomal RNA", at positions 28 to 507 of the family's 1533-position model. The record is from RNAcentral.